GGAAAUGUGCCCGAAAAGAAUAAGGACCACUUUGAUAGAGUGAAACAUGAGAGUUAAAAUCCCCCCAUUUCCU
Molecule: transfer RNA, 73 nt
Filed under: Facciolella oxyrhyncha (Facciola's sorcerer)
Lineage: Eukaryota; Metazoa; Chordata; Actinopteri; Anguilliformes; Nettastomatidae
Description: tRNA-Ile
Rfam family: tRNA
About the family: Transfer RNA (tRNA) molecules are approximately 80 nucleotides in length. Their secondary structure includes four short double-helical elements and three loops (D, anti-codon, and T loops).
Source: RNAcentral